Molecule: ribosomal RNA, 450 nt
Filed under: uncultured bacterium
Lineage: Bacteria
Description: partial 16S ribosomal RNA
Rfam family: Bacterial small subunit ribosomal RNA
Source: RNAcentral
GUGGGGAAUAUUGGACAAUGGGCGAAAGCCUGAUCCAGCCAUGCCGCGUGUGUGAAGAAGGUCUUCGGAUUGUAAAGCACUUUAAGUUGGGAGGAAGGGCAGUAAGUUAAUACCUUGCUGUUUUGACGUUACCGACAGAAUAAGCACCGGCUAACUUCGUGCCAGCAGCCGCGGUAAUACGAAGGGUGCAAGCGUUAAUCGGAAUUACUGGGCGUAAAGCGCGCGUAGGUGGUUCAGCAAGUUGAAGGUGAAAUCCCCGGGCUCAACCUGGGAACUGCCUCCAAAACUACUGAGCUAGAGUACGGUAGAGGGUAGUGGAAUUUCCUGUGUAGCGGUGAAAUGCGUAGAUAUAGGAAGGAACACCAGUGGCGAAGGCGACUACCUGGACUGAUACUGACACUGAGGUGCGAAAGCGUGGGGAGCAAACAGGAUUAGAUACCCGGGUAGUCC